RNAcentral lists this ribosomal RNA (301 nucleotides) under uncultured bacterium. RNAcentral describes it as "partial 16S ribosomal RNA". It matches the Rfam family "Bacterial small subunit ribosomal RNA", at positions 509 to 807 of the family's 1533-position model. The record is from RNAcentral.
CAGUAGCCGCGGGAAUACGAAGGGGCCUAGCGUUGCUCGGAAUCACUGGGCGUAAAGGGUGCGUAGGCGGGUUUCUAAGUCAGGGGUGAAAUCCUGGAGCUCAACUCCAGAACUGCCCUUGAUACUGGAAGUCUUGAGUAUGGGAGAGGUGAGUGGAACCGCGAGUGUAGAGGUGAAAUUCGUAGAUAUUCGCAAGAACACCAGUGGCGAAGGCGGCUUACUGGCUCAUUCUAGACGCUGAGGUGCGAAAGCGUGGGGAGCAAACAGGAUUAGAUACCCCUGUAGUCCCUGUCUCUUAUAC